This 498-nucleotide ribosomal RNA is filed under the name uncultured bacterium. Its description in RNAcentral is "partial 16S ribosomal RNA". It matches the Rfam family "Bacterial small subunit ribosomal RNA", at positions 30 to 523 of the family's 1533-position model. The record is from RNAcentral.
AUUGAACGCUGGCGGCAUGCCUUACACAUGCAAGUCGAACGGUAACAGGUCUUCGGAUGCUGACGAGUGGCGAACGGGUGAGUAAUACAUCGGAACGUGCCCGAUCGUGGGGGAUAACGAAGCGAAAGCUUUGCUAAUACCGCAUAAGAUCUAAGGAUGAAAGCAGGGGACCGCAAGGCCUUGCGCGAACGGAGCGGCCGAUGGCAGAUUAGGUUGUUGGUGGGAUAAAAGCUUACCAAGCCGACGAUCUGUAGCUGGUCUGAGAGGACGACCAGCCACACUGGGACUGAGACACGGCCCAGACUCCUACGGGAGGCAGCAGUGGGGAAUUUUGGACAAUGGGCGCAAGCCUGAUCCAGCCAUGCCGCGUGCAGGAUGAAGGCCUUCGGGUUGUAAACUGCUUUUGUACGGAACGAAAAGACUCUUUCUAAUAAAGAGGGUCCAUGACGGUACCGUAAGAAUAAGCACCGGCUAACUACGUGCCAGCAGCCGCAGUAA